RNAcentral lists this transfer RNA (63 nucleotides) under Elateroidea sp. 8 KM-2017. Its description in RNAcentral is "tRNA-Ile". The record is from RNAcentral. Lineage: Eukaryota; Metazoa; Arthropoda; Insecta; Coleoptera.
AAUAAGAUGCCUGAAUAAAGGGUUAUUUUGAUAGAAUAAUUCAUGUAAAUAUUACUCUUAUUA